Molecule: long non-coding RNA, 482 nt
Filed under: Homo sapiens (human)
Lineage: Eukaryota; Metazoa; Chordata; Mammalia; Primates; Hominidae
Description: HSALNT0307632
Source: RNAcentral
CUGGCUCACUCUUGAAUUCCUUCCUGAGUGAAGCCUAAAACCUGCCCUACAUGACUUCUGCUAUACAUUUCAUCUCCGGACUGUUUGUGGCAAAUUGAUUGAAAUUAAGGUUAUUAAAGAACUGGACCCUCCGUUAUGAAACGUCUCAAAGUAGCACUGUAAUUCCUCUCUUACGUAUGGCAACUGGCAAUGUUAAACAUCAGGACUGUCUCCAUAUUGCAUUUUAUGGAUGCAGGCAGAAGACACAAGACUCCUGGGUCAGAGACAAAGGGCAUUAUUUCUCAGGACACAGGAAGCAUCAUGAGCAUCAGUAUGUUUGGGUCAGUUCUCUUCACCUACAAGUCCCACACGGAUGUUGCCGAUGGGGCUAGAUGACAUCUGCACAUUCAAAUAGCGAAGCAUCAGGAGCGUCUGCCAUGUUAUUCAGCUACUCAGCUUUGCUAGUGGCACUGUGGAUUAAAGACCCCCUGCUAACAUUGUAG